Molecule: ribosomal RNA, 873 nt
Filed under: uncultured eukaryote
Lineage: Eukaryota
Description: SSU rRNA
Rfam family: Eukaryotic small subunit ribosomal RNA
Source: RNAcentral
GCCGCGGUAAUUCCAGCUCCAAUAGCGUAUACUAAAGUUGUUGCGGUUAAAAAGCUCGUAGUUGGAUCUUGGAAUGUGUUCAAGCGGGUCAGCUUCUGGCUGUGCGCUGCUUGACGUGUUCUUCUAUUUGGUUUUGGUGCGGUGCGCUUAACUGCGUGUCGCUCCCGGCCGAAACGUUUACCUUGAAAAAAUUAGAGUGUUCAAAGCAGACCUGUUUGAGUCUGAAUAUUCGUGCAUGGAAUAAUGAAAUAUGAAUUCGGUUCUAUUUUGUUGGUUUUCGGAACUCGAGUUAAUGAUCAAGAGGGACAGACGGGGGCAUUCGUACUCUGCCGUUAGAGGUGAAAUUCUUGGAUCGGCGGAAGACGCGCAACUGCGAAAGCAUUUGCCAAGAAUGUUUUCUUUAAUCAAGAACGAUAGUCGGAGGUUCGAAGACGAUCAGAUACCGUCCUAGUUUCGACUGUAAACUAUGCCAGCUAACGAUCAGACAGAGUUCUCUACGACUUGUCUGGCAGUUUCCGGGAAACCAAAGCGUUUGGGUUCCGGGGGAAGUAUGGUUGCAAAGCUGAAACUUAAAGGAAUUGACGGAAGGGCACCACCAGGAGUGGAGCCUGCGGCUUAAUUUGACUCAACACGGGGAAACUCACUCGGCCCGGACACAGUGAGGAUUGACAGAUUGAGAGUUCUUUCUUGAUUCUGUGGGUGGUGGUGCAUGGCCGUUCUUAGUUGGUGGAGCGAUUUGUCUGGUUAAUUCCGAUAACGAACGAGACUCUGGCAUGUUAAAUAGUCGCGGAAGUACGUAUGCACUUGCCGAAUUGACUUCUUAGAGGGACUAGUGAUUUUAAUUCACACGAGAUUGAGCAAUAACAGGUCUGU